CGCACGGUGGAUGCCUUGGCACUAGAAGCCGAUGAAGGACGUUACUAACGACGAUAUGCUUUGGGUAGCUGUAAGUAAGCGUUGAUCCAGAGAUUUCCGAAUGGGGGAACCCAGCAUGAGUUAUGUCAUGUUAUCGACAUGUGAAUUCAUAGCAUGUCAGAAGGCAGACCCGGAGAACUGAAACAUCUUAGUACCCGGAGGAAGAGAAAGAAAAAUCGAUUCCCUGAGUAGCGGCGAGCGAAACGGGAAGAGCCCAAACCAACAAGCUUGCUUGUUGGGGUUGUAGGACACUCUAUACGGAGUUACAAAAGAACAUGUUAGACGAAUCAUCUGGAAAGAUGAAUCAAAGAAGGUAAUAAUCCUGUAGUCGAAAACAUAUUCUCUCUUGAGUGGAUCCUGAGUACGACGGAGCACGUGAAAUUCCGUCGGAAUCUGGGAGGACCAUCUCCUAAGGCUAAAUACUCUCUAGUGACCGAUAGUGAACCAGUACCGUGAGGGAAAGGUGAAAAGUACCCCGGAAGGGGAGUGAAAUAGAACCUGAAACCGUGUGCCUACAACAAGUUCGAGCCCGUUAAUGGGUGAGAGCGUGCCUUUUGUAGAAUGAACCGGCGAGUUACGUUAUGAUGCGAGGUUAAGUUGAAGAGACGGAGCCGUAGGGAAACCGAGUCUGAAUAGGGCGUCUUAGUAUCAUGAUGUAGACCCGAAACCAUGUGACCUACCCAUGAGCAGGUUGAAGGUGCGGUAAAACGCACUGGAGGACCGAACCAGGGCACGUUAAAAAGUGCUUGGAUGACUUGUGGGUAGCGGAGAAAUUCCAAACGAACUUGGAGAUAGCUGGUUCUCUCCGAAAUAGCUUUAGGGCUAGCGUCGACAUAAAGAUUCUUGGAGGUAGAGCACUGUUUGGGUGAGGGGUCCAUCCCGGAUUACCAAUCUCAGAUAAACUCCGAAUGCCAAUGAAUUAUGGUCGGCAGUCAGACUGCGAGUGCUAAGAUCCGUAGUCGAAAGGGAAACAGCCCAGACCACCAGCUAAGGUCCCAAAAUAAUUGUUAAGUGGAAAAGGAUGUGGGGUUGCACAGACAACUAGGAUGUUAGCUUAGAAGCAGCUAUUCAUUCAAAGAGUGCGUAAUAGCUCACUAGUCGAGUGACCCUGCGCCGAAAAUGUACCGGGGCUAAAACAAUUUACCGAAGCUGUGGAUACCUUUAUAGGUAUGGUAGGAGAGCGUUCUAUGUGUGGAGAAGGUGUACCGUGAGGAGCGCUGGAACGCAUAGAAGUGAGAAUGCCGGUAUGAGUAGCGAAAGAUGGGUGAGAAUCCCAUCCACCGUAAGACUAAGGUUUCCAGGGGAAGGCUCGUCCGCCCUGGGUUAGUCGGGACCUAAGGAGAGACCGAAAGGUGUAUCCGAUGGACAACAGGUUGAUAUUCCUGUACUAGAGUAUGAAGUGAUGGAGGGACGCAGUAGGCUAACUCGUGCGUACGAAUGGAUGUACGUCUAAGCAGUGAGGCGUGGUAUGAGUCAAAUGCUUAUACCUGUAACGUUGAGCUGUGAUGGGGAGCGAAGUUUAGUAGCGAGUGAGUGAUGUCACACUGCCAAGAAAAGCUUCUAGCGUUGUAUCAUACUCUACCCGUACCGCAAACCGACACAGGUAGUCGAGGCGAGUAGCCUCAGGUGAGCGAGAGAACUCUCGUUAAGGAACUCGGCAAAAUGACCCCGUAACUUCGGGAGAAGGGGUGCUGACUUUGGUCAGCCGCAGUGAAUAGGCCCAAGCAACUGUUUAUCAAAAACACAGCUCUCUGCUAAAUCGUAAGAUGAUGUAUAGGGGGUGACGCCUGCCCGGUGCUGGAAGGUUAAGAGGA
This 1853-nucleotide ribosomal RNA is filed under the name Aurantiochytrium limacinum. RNAcentral's name for it is "partial Bacterial large subunit ribosomal RNA". It matches the Rfam family "Bacterial large subunit ribosomal RNA", at positions 18 to 1885 of the family's 2925-position model. The record is from RNAcentral. Lineage: Eukaryota; Bigyra; Thraustochytrida; Thraustochytriidae.